CAGUCGAGCGGUAAGGCCUUUCGGGGUACACGAGCGGCGAACGGGUGAGUAACACGUGGGUGAUCUGCCCUGCACUUCGGGAUAAGCCUGGGAAACUGGGUCUAAUACCGGAUAUGACCUCCUAUCGCAUGGUGGGUGGUGGAAAGAUUUAUCGGUGCAGGAUGGGCCCGCGGCCUAUCAGCUUGUUGGUGGGGUAAUGGCCUACCAAGGCGACGACGGGUAGCCGACCUGAGAGGGUGACCGGCCACACUGGGACUGAGACACGGCCCAGACUCCUACGGGAGGCAGCAGUGGGGAAUAUUGCACAAUGGGCGAAAGCCUGAUGCAGCGACGCCGCGUGAGGGAUGACGGCCUUCGGGUUGUAAACCUCUUUCAGCAGGGACGAAGCGCAAGUGACGGUACCUGCAGAAGAAGCACCGGCUAACUACGUGCCAGCAGCCGCGGUAAUACGUAGGGUGCAAGCGUUGUCCGGAAUUACUGGGCGUAAAGAGUUCGUAGGCGGUUUGUCGCGUCGUUUGUGAAAACCAGCAGCUCAACUGCUGGCUUGCAGGCGAUACGGGCAGACUUGAGUACUGCAGGGGAGACUGGAAUUCCUGGUGUAGCGGUGAAAUGCGCAGAUAUCAGGAGGAACACCGGUGGCGAAGGCGGGUCUCUGGGCAGUAACUGACGCUGAGGAACGAAAGCGUGGGUAGCGAACAGGAUUAGAUACCCUGGUAGUCCACGCCGUAAA
Molecule: ribosomal RNA, 730 nt
Filed under: Rhodococcus sp. 5AAIII
Lineage: Bacteria; Bacillati; Actinomycetota; Actinomycetes; Mycobacteriales; Nocardiaceae
Description: bacterial SSU rRNA
Rfam family: Bacterial small subunit ribosomal RNA
Source: RNAcentral